RNAcentral lists this ribosomal RNA (425 nucleotides) under uncultured bacterium. RNAcentral's name for it is "partial 16S ribosomal RNA". It matches the Rfam family "Bacterial small subunit ribosomal RNA", at positions 354 to 796 of the family's 1533-position model. The record is from RNAcentral.
GUGAGGAAUAUUGGACAAUGGAGGAAACUCUGAUCCAGCCAUGCCGCGUGAGUGAUGAAGGCCUUCGGGUUGUAAAGCUCUUUCAGGUGUGAAAAUGAUGAUGGUAACACCAGAAGAAGCCCCGGCUAACUCCGUGCCAGCAGCCGCGGUAAUACGGAGGGGGCGAGCGUUGUUCGGAAUCACUGGGCGUAAAGCGUGCGUAGGCGGUUAUACAAGUCAGGAGUGAAAUCCCAGGGCUCAACCUUGGAAUUGCUUUUGAGACUGUAUGACUAGAGAUCUAGAGAGGUUGGGGGAAUUCCGAGUGUAGAGGUGAAAUUCGCAGAUAUUCGGAGGAACACCAGUGGCGUAGGCGCCCAACUGGCUAGAUACUGACGCUGAGGCACGAAAGCGUGGGGAGCAAACAGGAUUAGAUACCCCAGUAGUCC